AACUUAUAUUUUAUUUUUAUUUUUUGUUUAUUUAUUUUAUUAAAAAUAAUUUUUCUUUUAGUAUUUAUUUAAAAAUUAAUAUAUUUUUAUUAUAGUUUAUUUUACUGUGAAGGUUUAUUUUAUUAUUUUAUAAAAGUAUUUUUUGUUUUAAGUACCUUUUGCAUCAGGGCUUAUUUAUAUAGAAAAAUGAUUUUUUUUUCUCGAAAUUUAAAGGGAUAAAUAUAAAUGAUUUUUUUUGUAAUAAAAAAAUUAUAAAUUUAUUUUUAGAAGCUAUAUGUUAUUCGUUUUAAAUUAUAUCUAGUUUAUUAAUAAAUGAAUUUAAUUCAGGAUUUAAUGGUUUAUUUUUAACUUAUUUAUUUAUAAAUUUUUUAAUCUAAAUAUUUGAGGGAUAAUCUUCAUUUAUUUUUUAAAAGUUCUUUUAUUAUGAUUUUUUGUAGGAUUGAAAAUUUUCAUCAUUUAUUUUGUUAUAAUUAUUUUUUUUGAAAAAAUGAUUUUUUCUUCUUUAAUUUUUUAUUAAUAUUAUAAUUAUAAUUUAUAAUUUUAUUCUAUAAUGAUAAGAUUAGUAAUUUUGAUAAUUUUGUUUUAUGAACUCGGCAAAUUUAAUUUUCACCUGUUUAACAAAAACAUGGUUUUUUGUAAUUUAUAUAAGAUCGGACCUGCCCAUUGAUUUUAAGUAUUAAAAGGCUGCGGUAUUUUAACUGUACUAAGGUAGCAUAAUCAUUUGUCUUUUAAUUGAAGGCUAGUAUGAAUGGUUUGAUGAGAAAUUGACUUUAUUGAAUAAAUAUAUUUGAAUUUAAUUUUUAAAUUAAAAAGUUUAAAUUUUUUUAUAGGACGAGAAGACCCUAUAGAAGUUUAAUUAAUAUAUAAAUAUUUUUUUUGGUUAUUUAAUUUAAUUUUUAGAAUAUUAAUUUUUGUUGGGGAGACAGGAAAAUUUCAUUAACUUUUUCUAUUUUAUGCAUAUAUUUAUGUUUUACUGAUCCAGAAUUUUUGAUUAUAAGUUUAACUUACCUUAGGGAUAACAGCGUUAUUUUUUUGGAGAGUUCAUAUCGAUAAAAAAGUUUGCGACCUCGAUGUUGAAUUAAGAUAAUAUUUAAAUGGAAAAGUUUAAUUUGUUUGGUCUGUUCGACCAUUAAAUUCUUACAUGAUUUGAGUUCAGACCGGCGUGAGCCAGGUCGGUUUCUAUCCUUAUUUUUGUUUUGAGUUAGUACGAAAGGACCACUCAAAUUAAUUAAAUUAUUUUUUUUGAUUAAUAUUA
This 1255-nucleotide ribosomal RNA is filed under the name Entomovelia sp. YC-2015. RNAcentral's name for it is "16S ribosomal RNA". The stretch from base 1015 to 1174 matches the Rfam family "Archaeal large subunit ribosomal RNA", at positions 2544 to 2703 of the family's 2987-position model. The record is from RNAcentral. Lineage: Eukaryota; Metazoa; Arthropoda; Insecta; Hemiptera; Veliidae.